CACGUAGGGAGCAAGCGUUGUCCGGAUUUAUUGGGCGUAAAGAGCUCGUAGGUGGUUCGGUAAGUCAGGUGUGAAACCUCCAGGCUCAACCUGGAGACGCCACUUGAUACUGCUGUGACUGGAGUCCGGUAGGGGAGCGUGGAAUUCCUGGUGUAGCGGUGAAAUGCGCAGAUAUCAGGAGGAACACCAGCGGCGAAGGCGGCGCUCUGGGCCGAUACUGACGCUGAGGCGCGAAAGCGUGGGGAGCAAACAGG
This 254-nucleotide ribosomal RNA is filed under the name uncultured bacterium. Its description in RNAcentral is "partial 16S ribosomal RNA". It matches the Rfam family "Bacterial small subunit ribosomal RNA", at positions 524 to 776 of the family's 1533-position model. The record is from RNAcentral.